CAUACAUCCUUCCUGUCUCUCCUGCAAUGCCAAUUCACCUUUUUGGAAUCAAAUAUUGAAAAAAGAUAGAAAAGAAGGAUCAUAGAGCAGUCUCUUUAAUUAAGCAACCUGUUGAAAUUCAAAAUAAAUGUACUAACAUCAACUCUUCGCAUUUUAUUUAUAGGAUAAAAGCCUGGAAGAUCAGGUUUGCUAUUCAAGAUUUCAAAAGUGCUAAUGAAGAUUAUUCCCCCAAAGUCUAAAGAAACACUGAACGUUUGAUUUUGACUAAUCAUAAGCUGUUUACAUAUGGCACGCCAAAAGCUAAUUAUUAAUGUAUAAACCCCAUAGGAUAUAAGGCAAUUCUUUCAUCUUAAGAUAGGAAACAACCCCUACACAAGUACGAACAACUCAAUUUUUAAAGGGGCAAAAGCAAUCUUCUCCUUUUAGAACCAUCUACCGAAUAACCAUCAACCAAUUUAAGAAUUACUGUGCCUAUAAGAUCAGUAGGAAAAUAUUCUUCCUACAAUUUAACUCUACUGUCAUCAACUAAAUAGAAACCCAUGAAUUCAAGCCCAAAAUGUGACCAUAUAAGAGAAUAACAUUCCCUUCAACAGCCAUAGCACCUCAUAAAACACCCACAAAGAUAAAUCACAAAUCCAAUCACACAUUUGAGAGAUGGGCAUACAUGUGCCUGGUUGAUAAAAGGAAUUGGAGAAUCUGAUAGUAGAUAUGAAAUUCUGCAUAAGAUUAAUAUUAAAAAUGAAACUUCAACAAAAAUUGUCAUUGUAUUAUUUUCAAAACUAUCAGAAACUA
This 792-nucleotide unclassified non-coding RNA is filed under the name Hevea brasiliensis (rubber tree). Lineage: Eukaryota; Viridiplantae; Streptophyta; Magnoliopsida; Malpighiales; Euphorbiaceae. The record is from RNAcentral.